Molecule: long non-coding RNA, 889 nt
Organism: Amphiprion ocellaris (clown anemonefish)
Lineage: Eukaryota; Metazoa; Chordata; Actinopteri; Pomacentridae
Exons: 3
Source: RefSeq, a predicted model, not a curated record
CAGAUACGAGGCUACACGACCCCGCUGAGGUGGCUGCUCUUAGACCUCACUCAUGGAUGACAGCUGGACUUCGGUGUGGCCGGCAAAACGUGACAGAUACAGUAAAGAAUGAAGAGGAAGGGAACCACCAGCAGCUUUUCCCAGCCUAAAAGAAGAGAGGAGGAAGAGCAUCCCAGAGAGGAGAUGGAGGAGGAAGAGUUCAGAGAAAGAAAUGAAGGCAUGCAGAGCUCAGACAGUGAAAGACAAAAGCUGAUGAAGGAUGAUUUUCCGCUGACGAAACAACAGCAGAGGCACACAACUGACAUGUGAAACCAGACACGCCUUUCUCCAGAGGCAGACGCAUGGAGAAUUUCCAGCAUACCAGUCGAUUCAUGAGAUCCUGUUCACAUCCUCAGCAUCUCCUCGGGCUGCAGUGGCAGGGUGUGUGAGCCAGACAACAGCCUCUCAGUCCCAUCACAACAAAGGUAACCAGCCACUCACACACCUCAGGGCCUCCAUGCAAGUUUCAAUACACUGGGUGGACGAAUCACACCGGCACGAAACUGGCAGCUGGGAGAGAACAGGAAUCUGAGACAGGAGGAGGAGCUUUUGUUUUUUUUUAAUGUUGCUGUUUGUGUGUUUUGGUGUGGCGCCGUGUGUGUUCAUCCCUCUGCCUGUGUGAGUGUGUGUCUCAUUGCAGCUGUGCAACCAGCCACUGUGUUGACAGUGCCAGUCCAAACACAAACAUCAUUGGUUUUUAAUGAUGUGAUUAUCAGGCAGCACACACACACACACACACACACACACACACACACACACAAACAACAUGGAUCUGAGUGAGAAGAAACACAAAGCACAUUUGAUUAAUGUGCUUAAUUAACACAAAGAUGUAAUAAACUGUUUGAAAUUC